UAUAAAUACAACAGGCCAGCUGCGAGUUACAUGUAAUAUAUAUCCAGAAAAGUACACCCCGAGAAAUCCUGAAAAUAUUUCUAUUGAAAGAGCUUUACCAAAAAAUGUACAAGGCAGCAUAGAUAGCCACGGCACCAUGUUUACAACCCAACCCUAGAAGUAAUAAAAAGGAUUCUUAACAUAUUAUAUGGUCAAAUUAUAUAUAAUACAAAUGUUUAUUAAUAAUAAAUUACCUUUACUUCUGGAAAUGUAUCAUGAAAAUACAUUGGCAUCCAGGAUAA
Frieseomelitta varia is the source of this 281-nucleotide long non-coding RNA. RefSeq lists it as uncharacterized. The transcript is spliced from 2 exons. NCBI's taxonomy places the organism in Eukaryota, Metazoa, Arthropoda, Insecta, Hymenoptera, Apidae. The record is from RefSeq and is a predicted model, not a curated record.